Molecule: ribosomal RNA, 404 nt
Filed under: Fusobacteriota bacterium
Lineage: Bacteria; Fusobacteriati; Fusobacteriota
Description: Fusobacteria bacterium partial 16S ribosomal RNA
Rfam family: Bacterial small subunit ribosomal RNA
Source: RNAcentral
UGGGGAAUAUUGCACAAUGGAGGGAACUCUGAUGCAGCGACGCCGCGUGAGUGAUGAAGGAAUUCGUUUCGUAAAACUCUGUUCUAUGGGAAGAAAAGGACUGUACCAUAGGAGAAAGCUCCGGCUACAUACGUGCCAGCAGCCGCGGUAAUACGUAUGGAGCGAGCGUUGUCCGGAAUUAUUGGGCGUAAAGGGUGCGCAGGCGGCUUUACAAGUUGGAUGUGAAAUAUUGUGGCUCAACCACAAACGUGCAUCCAAAACUGCAAAGCUUGAGUUAAUGAGAGGUAAGUGGAAUUCCUGGUGUAGCGGUGGAAUGCGUAGAUAUCAGGAGGAAUACCGGUGGCGAAGGCGACUUACUUGACUUACACUGACGCUCAGGCACGAAAGCGUGGGGAGCAAACAGG